RNAcentral lists this ribosomal RNA (885 nucleotides) under Triticum aestivum (bread wheat). RNAcentral describes it as "partial small subunit ribosomal RNA". Lineage: Eukaryota; Viridiplantae; Streptophyta; Magnoliopsida; Poales; Poaceae. The record is from RNAcentral.
AUGGAAGGGGAGGAGGAGAUAGGCCUCGUCCUCGCCCGCGCCUCCGACCUUCGCUCCAGGAUCUCCGCCUGCGCUGCCGCCGCACGGCCCCCGCUGCGGCUGGGCGCCGGGGAGGAGGACGACGGCGGAGAGGAGGCGGAAGAGGAGGUGGAGAUGGAGAGCCUGGUAGGCAUCAACGACGCGCUCGAGUCGCUCGAGCGGCAGCUCGCCUCCCUGCAGGACCUCCAACACCAACAAAGAUAUGAACGAGAAACCGUCCUGAGCCAGAUUGAUCGCAGUCGAACAUCUCUCCUUAACAAGCUGAAAGAAUACAAGGGAGAGGACUGUGAAGCAAUCCACGAGGCUGCUGCUUUUGCUGGUGAAAAAAUCGAAAAUGAUGAUGGUCUCAUCCUACCUCCUUACUCGGGCCAUGUCACCAAUUCAUUUGUGCUCGAUGAUCUCUAUCCUGCAAACUACGUGUCCAAGCCCAAGUGCCUGCACAAUGGACUGCGUUCUAAUGGAAUGACUGAAGAUGGUACAGGGACAAACGGGGUGCAAAACAGAAUUCCUAUCAUGUCGAGCCGUAAUUCAGCAGGAGGGAUCAGAUCUUUGAUUGGAUGGUUGGCUAAAACAGCGGUCAUGAUUGUGGGCGCCGUAUCAAUCAUGAAGGCUGCUGGCUACGAGCCCACAAUAGGGAGGAGCGGCAUAAAACUGGACAUUGCAGGUCUGUUGGGUAAAGAGGCGGCUGGUGCAAAAGAGCAGGUUCCUCCUACUCUACAGUGCCCUCCUGGGAAGGUAAUGGUGCUUGGUGGAGAUGGCCGGGCGCACUGCGUUGUGAAGGAAAGAGUUGAGAUCCCCUUCGGCAGCAGCCUUGAUGCCCCAAAUGCAAGCUACGGCUUAGGUUGA